RNAcentral lists this ribosomal RNA (441 nucleotides) under Coullana sp. RFF-2001. RNAcentral describes it as "partial 16S ribosomal RNA". It matches the Rfam family "Archaeal large subunit ribosomal RNA", at positions 1977 to 2666 of the family's 2987-position model. Lineage: Eukaryota; Metazoa; Arthropoda; Copepoda; Polyarthra; Canuellidae. The record is from RNAcentral.
GCGUUCAGACCGGAUGUGCUGUGUAUAAAGACCGUGGUCCGAGUUCCGAUCGGGCGCUAAGGGAGUAUAAAAACUUGUCUUUUAAUUAAAGACUGGCAUGAAGGGUCAAUAAGGUUUAAGCUCUAAUAAAAAACCCAGGAAACUUAACUUUGGUGUGAAAAGGCACCAAUCUAUUAUUUGGACGAGAAGACCCUAUAAACCUUUCACUAAAUCACUAUCAUUAAAUCAUUAGUGUUGUUUGGGACAAACUAUAAAAAUAAAAUAAUAAUCACAUCUGCCAACUUGACCCCCAUAGGACCACAAGAUAAAGGUCCUUUAGGGAUAACAGCACAACGAUCGCUUGGAGCCCCUAUCGAGGCGAUCACCUGUGACCUCGAUGUUGAAUUAAGAAAACCCUAGGGGCAGCCCCUUAGGAAAAAAGUCUGUUCGACUUUUCUUCUU